GACGAACGCUGGCGGCGUGCCUAAUACAUGCAAGUUGAGCGCUGAAGGUUGGUACUUGUACCAACUGGAUGAGCAGCGAACGGGUGAGUAACGCGUGGGGAAUCUGCCUUUGAGCGGGGGACAACAUUUGGAAACGAAUGCUAAUACCGCAUAAAAACUUUAAACACAAGUUUUAAGUUUGAAAGAUGCAAUUGCAUCACUCAAAGAUGAUCCCGCGUUGUAUUAGCUAGUUGGUGAGGUAAAGGCUCACCAAGGCGAUGAUACAUAGCCGACCUGAGAGGGGGAUCGGCCACAUUGGGACUGAGACACGGCCAAAACUCCUACGGGAGGCAGCAGUAGGGAAUCUUCGGCAAUGGACGAAAGUCUGACCGGGCAACGCCGGGGGGUGGAAGAAGGUUUUCGGAUCGUAAAACUCUGUUGGUAGAGAAAAACGUUGGGGGGGGUGGAAAGCUCACCAAGUGACGGUAACUACCCAGAAAGGGACGGCUAAAUACGU
This 496-nucleotide ribosomal RNA is filed under the name uncultured bacterium. RNAcentral describes it as "partial 16S ribosomal RNA". It matches the Rfam family "Bacterial small subunit ribosomal RNA", at positions 28 to 506 of the family's 1533-position model. The record is from RNAcentral.